AGUCUGCCCUGCUUUCUCUCUUGCUCCUUCCUGCUCUUUUCCCCUUCCUCCUUCCCUGGUAGGAUGAUGCAGCAAGAAGGUCCUCACCAGAUGCAGCCCCCCAACCUUGGAUUUCCCAGCCUCCAGAACAGAAGGGAAGUAUCACCGGCCUGAACUACUACUCCCCAUCCCCUGCAACUGCCAUUCUUUCUGACUUGUCUCUAGAAAAGGCCAUGUGACCUCUCCCUCAGGCUGACGCAUUGUCCCAGCCAGAAUGUCCAGCCAAAGCAGAAUAAAGCAUCUACUGGACCUAAA
This 294-nucleotide long non-coding RNA is filed under the name Homo sapiens (human). RNAcentral's name for it is "HSALNT0304269". Lineage: Eukaryota; Metazoa; Chordata; Mammalia; Primates; Hominidae. The record is from RNAcentral.